AAACUACAAAUGAAUUGACGGGACCGCACAAGCGGUGGAUGAUGUGGAUUAAUUCGAUGCAACGCGAAAACCUUACCUACCCUUGACAUGUCUGGAAUCUUGGUGAGAGCCGAGGGUGCCUUCGGGAGCCAGAACACAGGUGCUGCAUGGCUGUCGUCAGCUCGUGUCGUGAGAUGUUGGGUUAAGUCCCGCAACGAGCGCAACCCUUGCCAUUAGUUGCUACGAAAGGGCACUCUAAUGGGACUGCCGGUGACAAACCGGAGGAAGGUGGGGAUGACGUCAAGUCCUCAUGGCCCUUAUAGGUGGGGCUACACACGUCAUACAAUGGCCGGUACAGAGGGUAGCCAACCCGCGAGGGGGAGCCAAUCCCACAAAGCCGGUCGUAGUCCGGAUCGCAGUCUGCAACUCGACUGCGUGAAGUCGGAAUCGCUAGUAAUCGCGGAUCAGCAUGUCGCGGUGAAUACGUUCCCGGGUCUU
This 477-nucleotide ribosomal RNA is filed under the name uncultured Diaphorobacter sp. Its description in RNAcentral is "bacterial SSU rRNA". It matches the Rfam family "Bacterial small subunit ribosomal RNA", at positions 896 to 1382 of the family's 1533-position model. The record is from RNAcentral. Lineage: Bacteria; Pseudomonadati; Pseudomonadota; Betaproteobacteria; Burkholderiales; Comamonadaceae.